RNAcentral lists this ribosomal RNA (305 nucleotides) under uncultured bacterium. Its description in RNAcentral is "partial 16S ribosomal RNA". It matches the Rfam family "Bacterial small subunit ribosomal RNA", at positions 508 to 807 of the family's 1533-position model. The record is from RNAcentral.
ACAGCAGUCGCCGCGGGAAUACGAGGGGGGCAAGCGUUGUUCGGAAUUAUUGGGCGUAAAGGGCGCGUAGGCGGUUUGGCAAGUCUAAUGUGAAAUCCCCGGGCUCAACCUGGGAACUGCAUUUGUGACUGGCAAGCUAGAGUGUGGCAGAGGGGGGUGGAAUUCCGCGUGUAGCAGUGAAAUGCGUAGAUAUGCGGAGGAACACCGAUGGCGAAGGCAGCCCCCUGGGCCAACACUGACGCUCAUGCACGAAAGCGUGGGGAGCAAACAGGAUUAGAUACCCGGGUAGUCCCUGUCUCUUAUAC